GGGUGUGAUCAUACCAGCACUUAUGUACCGUAUCUCAUCAGAACUCCACAGUUAAACGUGUUUGGGCGAGAGUAGUAUUAGGAUGGGUGACCUCUUGGGAGGUCCUCUGUUAAACCCC
This 118-nucleotide ribosomal RNA is filed under the name Macleaya cordata. The record is from RNAcentral. Lineage: Eukaryota; Viridiplantae; Streptophyta; Magnoliopsida; Ranunculales; Papaveraceae.